This 182-nucleotide ribosomal RNA is filed under the name uncultured prokaryote. Its description in RNAcentral is "partial 16S ribosomal RNA". It matches the Rfam family "Bacterial small subunit ribosomal RNA", at positions 355 to 530 of the family's 1533-position model. The record is from RNAcentral.
UCGGGAAUCUUGCACAAUGGGCGAAAGCCUGAUGCAGCAACGCCGUGUGAGCGAGGAAGGUCUUCGGAUCGUAAAGCUCUGUUGUUGGGGACGAAGGGCGAAGGGUUAAUAGCCCCUAGCCUGACGGUACCCUUCGAGGAAGCCCCGGCUAACUACGUGCCAGCAGCCGCGGUAAUACGUAG